AACGAACGCUGGCGGCAUGCCUAACACAUGCAAGUCGAACGAGACCUUCGGGUCUAGUGGCGCACGGGUGCGUAACGCGUGGGAACCUGCCUUUAGGUUCGGAAUAACUCAGAGAAAUUUGAGCUAAUACCGGAUGAUGUCUUCGGACCAAAGAUUUAUCGCCUUUAGAUGGGCCCGCGUUGGAUUAGCUAGUUGGUGGGGUAAAGGCCUACCAAGGCGACGGUCCAUAGCUGGUCUGAGAGGAUGAUCAGCCACACUGGGACUGAGACACGGCCCAGACUCCUACGGGAGGCAGCAGUGGGGAAUAUUGGACAAUGGGCGAAAGCCUGAUCCAGCAAUGCCGCGUGAGUGAUGAAGGCCUUAGGGUUGUAAAGCUCUUUUACCCGAGAUGAUAAUGACAGUAGCGGGAGAAUAAGCGCCGGCUAACUCCGUG
Molecule: ribosomal RNA, 433 nt
Filed under: uncultured bacterium
Lineage: Bacteria
Description: partial 16S ribosomal RNA
Rfam family: Bacterial small subunit ribosomal RNA
Source: RNAcentral